Molecule: ribosomal RNA, 500 nt
Filed under: uncultured bacterium
Lineage: Bacteria
Description: partial 16S ribosomal RNA
Rfam family: Bacterial small subunit ribosomal RNA
Source: RNAcentral
AUUGAACGCUGGCGGCAUGCCUUACACAUGCAAGUCGAACGGCAGCACGGGAGCAAUCCUGGUGGCGAGUGGCGAACGGGUGAGUAAAGUAUCGGAACGUGCCCAGUCGUGGGGGAUCACGUAGCGAAAGCUACGCUAAUACCGCAUACGAUCUAUGGAUGAAAGCGGGGGAUCGCAAGACCUCGCGCGAUUGGAGCGGCCGAUAUCAGAUUAGGUAGUUGGUGGGGUAAAGGCCCACCAAGCCGACGAUCUGUAGCUGGUCUGAGAGGACGACCAGCCACACUGGGACUGAGACACGGCCCAGACUCCUACGGGAGGCAGCAGUGGGGAAUUUUGGACAAUGGGCGCAAGCCUGAUCCAGCAAUGCCGCGUGCAGGAUGAAGGCCUUCGGGUUGCAAACUGCUUUUGUACGGAACGAAAAGGCUCUCACUAAUACUGGGGGCUCAUGACGGUACCGUAAGAAUAAGCACCGGCUAACUACGUGCCAGCAGCCGCCGUAA